UCCCCCGUGGCGCAAUUGGAUAGCGCGUUAGACUGUUAUUCCCUUUAUCAGUUCAUCUAAAGGUUGGUGGUUCGAGCCCACCCGGGGGAG
RNAcentral lists this transfer RNA (90 nucleotides) under Ophiostoma piceae UAMH 11346. It matches the Rfam family "tRNA". Rfam says of the family: Transfer RNA (tRNA) molecules are approximately 80 nucleotides in length. Their secondary structure includes four short double-helical elements and three loops (D, anti-codon, and T loops). Lineage: Eukaryota; Fungi; Ascomycota; Sordariomycetes; Ophiostomatales; Ophiostomataceae. The record is from Rfam by way of RNAcentral.